Molecule: ribosomal RNA, 505 nt
Filed under: uncultured bacterium
Lineage: Bacteria
Description: partial 16S ribosomal RNA
Rfam family: Bacterial small subunit ribosomal RNA
Source: RNAcentral
GACGAACGCUGGCGGCGUGCCUAAUACAUGCAAGUAGAACGCACAGUUUAUACCGUAGCUUGCUACACCAUAAACUGUGAGUUGCGAACGGGUGAGUAACGCGUAAGUAACCUGCCUGGUAGCGGGGGAUAACUAUUGGAAACGAUAGCUAAUACCGCAUAAUAUUGAUUAUUGCAUGAUAAUUGAUUGAAAGAUGCUAUUGCAUCACUACCAGAUGGACCUGCGUUGUAUUAGCUAGUAGGUGAGGUAACGGCUCACCUAGGCGACGAUACAUAGCCGACCUGAGAGGGUGAUCGGCCACACUGGGACUGAGACACGGCCCAGACUCCUACGGGAGGCAGCAGUAGGGAAUCUUCGGCAAUGGACGAAAGUCUGACCGAGCAACGCCGCGUGAGUGAAGAAGGUUUUCGGAUCGUAAAGCUCUGUUGUAAGAGAAGAACGGGUGUGAGAGUGGAAAGUUCACACUGUGACGGUAUCUUACCAGAAAGGGACGGCUAACUACGUG